Molecule: long non-coding RNA, 263 nt
Filed under: Lathyrus oleraceus (garden pea)
Lineage: Eukaryota; Viridiplantae; Streptophyta; Magnoliopsida; Fabales; Fabaceae
Description: Pisum sativum (pea) long non-coding RNA (PSAT_LNC034748)
Source: RNAcentral
AUUAUUAGUAUGAUUAUUUACAUGUGCGAAGAUAUAGACAUGAAUUACCUAAUUAAUCGAAUUAAAAAAAAUCAAAUAAUCAACUUAAUAAUUAAAAUAAUUAAUUAAUUAAUUAAGAUCUAAUUAACUAAUUAAAUAAAAAUUUAAUCAAUUAACUAAAUACUAAAUUAAAUAAUCAAGAAAAUAAUAAUAAAUAAUAAUAAAUAACACAAUGGGAGGGGGUGCAUGGAGUAAAUGGGGUGCAAACAUCAAAAUCCAAUUGG